Molecule: ribosomal RNA, 301 nt
Filed under: uncultured bacterium
Lineage: Bacteria
Description: partial 16S ribosomal RNA
Rfam family: Bacterial small subunit ribosomal RNA
Source: RNAcentral
CAGCAGCCACGGUAAAACGAAGGGGGCUAGCGUUGUUCGGAUUUACUGGGCGUAAAGGGCGCGUAGGCGGACUGAUAAGUCAGGGGUGAAAUCCCAAGGCUCAACCUUGGAACUGCCUUUGAUACUGUUUGUCUUGAGUUCGAGAGAGGUAAGUGGAACUGCGAGUGUAGAGGUGAAAUUCGUAGAUAUUCGCAAGAACACCAGUGGCGAAGGCGGCUUACUGGCUCGAUACUGACGCUGAGGCGCGAAAGCGUGGGGAGCAAACAGGAUUAGAGACCCGCGUAGUCCCUGUCUCUUAUAC